CAGUCGCCGCGGGAAUACGUAGGUGGCAAACGUUGUCCGGAAUUAUUGGGCGUAAAGGGCUCGCAGGCGGUUUCUUAAGUCUGAUGUGAAAGCCCCCGGCUCAACCGGGGAGGGUCAUUGGAAACUGGGAAACUUGAGUGCAGAAGAGGAGAGUGGAAUUCCACGUGUAGCGGUGAAAUGCGUAGAGAUGUGGAGGAACACCAGUGGCGAAGGCGACUCUCUGGUCUGUAACUGACGCUGAGGAGCGAAAGCGUGGGGAGCGAACAGGAUUAGAUACCCCUGUAGUCCCUGUCUCUUAUAC
This 301-nucleotide ribosomal RNA is filed under the name uncultured bacterium. RNAcentral describes it as "partial 16S ribosomal RNA". It matches the Rfam family "Bacterial small subunit ribosomal RNA", at positions 509 to 807 of the family's 1533-position model. The record is from RNAcentral.